RNAcentral lists this ribosomal RNA (858 nucleotides) under uncultured Methanosarcina sp. RNAcentral's name for it is "bacterial SSU rRNA". It matches the Rfam family "Archaeal small subunit ribosomal RNA", at positions 78 to 934 of the family's 1478-position model. The record is from RNAcentral. Lineage: Archaea; Methanobacteriati; Methanobacteriota; Methanomicrobia; Methanosarcinales; Methanosarcinaceae.
AUGGCAUACUGCUCAGUAACACGUGGAUAACCUGCCCUUGGGUCUGGGAUAACCCCGGGAAACUGGGGAUAAUAUCGGAUAACGCAUAUGUGCUGGAAUGCUUUAUGCGUAAAACGGAUUCGUCCGCCCAAGGAUGGGUCUGCGGCCUAUCAGGUAGUAGUGGGUGUAAUGUACCUACUAGCCAACAACGGGUACGGGUUGUGAGAGCAAGAGCCCGGAGAUGGAUUCUGAGACAUGAAUCCAGGCCCUACGGGGCGCAGCAGGCGCGAAAACUUUACAAUGCGGGAAACCGUGAUAAGGGAACACCGAGUGCCAGCAUCAUAUGCUGGCUGUCCAGAUGUGUAAACUACAUCUGUUAGCAAGGGCCGGGCAAGACCGGUGCCAGCCGCCGCGGUAACACCGGCGGCCCGAGUGGUGACCGUUAUUAUUGGGUCUAAAGGGUCCGUAGCCGGUUUGGUCAGUCCUCCGGGAAAUCUGAUAGCUUAACUGUUAGGCUUUCGGGGGAUACUGCCAGGCUUGGAACCGGGAGAGGUAAGAGGUACUACAGGGGUAGGAGUGAAAUCUUGUAAUCCCUGUGAGACCACCUGUGGCGAAGGCGUCUUACCAGAACGGGUUCGACGGUGAGGGACGAAAGCUGGGGGCACGAACCGGAUUAGAUACCCGGGUAGUCCCAGCCGUAAACUAUGCUCGCUAGGUGUCAGGCAUGGCGCGACCGUGUCUGGUGCCGCAGGGAAGCCGUGAAGCGAGCCACCUGGGAAGUACGGCCGCAAGGCUGAAACUUAAAGGAAUUGGCGGGGGAGCACAACAACGGGUGGAGCCUGCGGUUUAAUUGGACUCAACGCCGGACAACUCACCGGG